ACACGACUACAUUAGAUACCCCCGUAGUCCAGGGUGUAAACGCUGCGGGCUUGGUGUUGGGGGUCCUUUGAGGGCGCCCAGUGCCGGAGAGAAGUUGUUAAGCCUGCUGCUUGGGGAGUACGUCCGCAAGGAUGAAACUUAAAGGAAUUGGCGGGGGAGCACCACAACGGGUGGAGCUUGCGGUUUAAUUGGAUUCAACGCCGGAAAUCUUACCGGGACCGACAGCAACAUGAAGGCCAGGCUGAAGACUUUGCCGGAUUAGCUG
This 265-nucleotide ribosomal RNA is filed under the name uncultured archaeon. RNAcentral describes it as "partial 16S ribosomal RNA". It matches the Rfam family "Archaeal small subunit ribosomal RNA", at positions 717 to 982 of the family's 1478-position model. The record is from RNAcentral.